RNAcentral lists this ribosomal RNA (441 nucleotides) under Salmonella enterica subsp. enterica serovar Anatum. RNAcentral describes it as "bacterial SSU rRNA". It matches the Rfam family "Bacterial small subunit ribosomal RNA", at positions 338 to 796 of the family's 1533-position model. Lineage: Bacteria; Pseudomonadati; Pseudomonadota; Gammaproteobacteria; Enterobacterales; Enterobacteriaceae. The record is from RNAcentral.
CCUACGGGGGGCUGCAGUGGGGAAUAUUGGGCAAUGGGCGCAAGCCUGACCCAGCAACGCCGCGUGAAGGAAGAAGGCUUUCGGGUUGUAAACUUCUUUUCUGAGGGACGAUAGUGACGGUACCUCAGGAAUAAGCCACGGCUAACUACGUGCCAGCAGCCGCGGUAAUACGUAGGUGGCAAGCGUUAUCCGGAUUUACUGGGUGUAAAGGGCGUGUAGGCGGGAUGGUAAGUCAGAUGUGAAAACUAUGGGCUCAACCCAUAGCCUGCAUUUGAAACUAUCGUUCUUGAGUGUUGGAGAGGCAGGCGGAAUUCCGUGUGUAGCGGUGAAAUGCGUAGAUAUACGGAGGAACACCAGUGGCGAAGGCGGCCUGCUGGACAAUAACUGACGCUGAGGCGCGAAAGCGUGGGGAGCAAACAGGAUUAGAUACCCCAGUAGUCC